RNA transcript from Coffea eugenioides, 2788 nucleotides. It is a transcript of the gene named 3'-N-debenzoyl-2'-deoxytaxol N-benzoyltransferase-like, with no coding region annotated. The transcript is spliced from 2 exons. Lineage: Eukaryota; Viridiplantae; Streptophyta; Magnoliopsida; Gentianales; Rubiaceae. The record is from RefSeq and is a predicted model, not a curated record.
GCCUUUUGUGACAAUAUUUUUUGGAUUCAAUCCUUUAAUAAAUCAGGUGGUUGACUACAAGGUCUCUUUCUGCAUGAUUAAAAUACAUACAAAUACCAAUAAACUCUUGACAAUGGAAAGACGUAACUGACGAGAGGUACUGAGGGAGAGGUUGGAAAGAGGAAGCUCUAUUGAAUAUUCCACCCAAUUUGUAGAUUGUAAGUGCCAUGUGGCAGCCCCAGGCUCGAGUUGAUUAUGUUGGUGUCACUGAACCUCCAUGGCCUUCCUCCUUGUGAAGCUAAUGCUAUUGAAUCUUCUCUCUUUUGGUUUUGGUCAUUGAUUUCAAUUUGAACUGUGUUUUUUAGGUAAUGUUUUGGUAUUUAUGCUUUAUUUUGUUCAAAAUGGAAACUUUGAAAUGAUCUUUGCUACAACCUAAAAUAUUUUGGGGUCGGGAUUAUCCAGGAAUUUAACCCUUUUCAUAUGAGUUCAAUUUGAGGGAAUUUAACUAUACAUUCCAUGCUUAUUGUUCAACCUGCUUUGAUGUAUACUUCAUUUAUAAUAUGGGAGAGCUGCAUUACCCAGCUAUUCCACUUUGGAUUGGGCAAGGAUGAAUGGACAGUUGAUAAAAGCCAUUUCUCCACGAGUUAUGGAAACAUAUUGAUAUGCAGCAUUACGGUAUCUAGGUACUCCUAAGAACGCUUUUCAUGUCCCAUAUGCAGUUUUGUGCUCUUGAUCUCAUUUUAUUAUGGCCCAACCUGCAAUUCUAUUUUGUUUUAAAAUUGAGUCAACAUAGUCCAGUUAUAGUGUAAAUGAGAGCCAUUUUGGGGCUGUUUUAUUACCAUUUCAAUGAGAUAGUGGAGUUAGUCUUGAGUUGGUAGGAGCUAUUGGAUAUCCUUGCCUUUCAAUGUUGGACAUUGAUUUUGUUUGUUAAGUCCGUUAAAACUUAAAACAGAGCAUCAAGCUCUCCUGCUUAUAGCAAUUCCUUACUUAUUUUAGUGCCUCUGUUUUCCAUCUUCUACAGCCUUCUAUCUUGUUUCUUUGAGGAGACUACCGAUGUAUUUCUUUCCAAGAAAACAUGCAACUCUAAACUCUCUUUCCUGCAGCAAAAGAAAAAGACAACUUAGAUAUCUAGAGAAAAGAUUAUUAUUGGGAAUUGAGAAGUUUACCACCCUCUGCUGCAAUCUCCUCUCUGAGAUAUCGGUGAAUAUCUACAUUCCUCUCUCAUCCCUCUUGAAUAUGCUGGAAUAUAGCAAACCAUUUAGGUUUUUGAUCUAUUUCAGUCAUUGUAUUUUCUCUAUGUAUUCAGUAGCUUCAGUUACUCAGUUAAAUCGGCUUUUGGUAAUAUUCAUUUGAUUGUGUAUUAGGUCCAGUAAAGAAUGCUAUUGGUGUAAGGAUGAUUAAAUCGAAAUCUUUGUGUCGCUUUCAUGUUCUUAGUAUCAUUAGUAAUAAUUUUUUGUCCUAAUAGACUUUACGAAUCCUGUUUUUCUCACUCGAUUCAGCCAUUAAUGUCCUUUUGCACUAAUUUUGAUAUUUUAGCUUGAGGUAAUUUUGUGCAUCGCCUUCCUGUUCAUUUUAACUUGAUUUUGCUUAGUCCUUUAAUGAGAUAAAUAUUUCUAGCAACACUGGAGUUAGUCAAGCACGCAAGAAGUUUAUGUGAAAAGUAAACUAUUGCAACAUCUCAUUUAUUGUUACUUCCUUUUCUUGGAUAUAUUAUUUCAUGUUACUCUAUUGGUUUACUGAUUUGAACUUGAUAUUUAGUUGUAAAUCAUUUAUAGUCUUUCCUUGUGAAUCCGCUUUUACUUGAUUUCAUUUACUAGGAACAUUAACUUUGCAAGUAUGCAGGAUUCAUAAGAAGAAUUUAGCGUCAAUUAGGAUUAUACUCUGGACUUACUCUUAAGGCUUUUCCGUGUUCUCUGAGUUAGUUUAGAACUUUAUUUAGUUUCUAAGGCAUGUAAUUUUACUUCUAUAGAGUAACUUGACAUUUGUAUUUGUUUUAAUGCCACGGAUACGUGGGAAUAUCUUAAGUGGUUUUUGGUGUUUCUGAUUUCUUAUGUUACUGGCCUGCAACAGUUUGAACUUUUUUUUUUGUUUAAAUAAAUAUUAAAUUGCUUAUCUUAGUUCUUUGAUGUAUAGACGAAAUUUUAACAUUGGAUGAGUUUGUGCAAAUACUUCUUCAUUGAAGCAUUGGCUUUUGUUGAGGUUGUUUAAAAAACAAGGCUAUCGCACUACCCAAAUCUGUCCAAUUGGAAGCUCGAAUCGGUCAAGUUCUUGGCAGGAAAGUUAAGGCUUCUGGGAUCCCUUCUGAUGAGAAAGUGAAGUUUGCAUAUGCAAUCAACAUAAGAAAGCUAGUCAAGCCACCACUACCAGCAGGAUACUGGGGAAUUCUGACCAAGGCUGAAGACCAUGUCGAUCAACCGAUAUAUAAAACAGCAGAAUUGAUCAACAAGAGCAAAUACAAUGUAUCUGAUGAAUAUGUUCGAUCAUUUAUCGAUUUUCAGGAGCUAAAUUAUCAUGAAGGGACCACAGUAGGAGCAAAGGUGAGUGGAAUUACUGAUUGGAGACACUUAGGCCAUCCACAGUGGACUUUGGUUGGGGAGGUCCUGUUACAGUUUUUCCUCUGUCAAGAAACCUGCUUGGAAGCGUUGAGCCCCGUUUCUUUUUGCCCUAUUCUUCAGCAAAUGAAGGGGAAAAGGAUGGUUGUAAACUUUCUGUGUGUUUGCAAGAACAUGCUGUUUCAGGUUUCAAAGAAGACAUGAAUAAGUUGAAGAAUUUAGAGCCUGGAUUCCUUUGAAUGAAGGGUUUCUUGUUA